CAGCUUUGAAUUUUUAACUUAUCAUUGUCUCUACACUUCUUUAACUGUGUUUAACUAGGCUGUGUCCUGGGAGACUGUGUGGCCUAAAGCAUCCCUCUCACAAUAUACUGAAGUUCAGUUUGGAAAUACCCCUCCCCUCAACUGGCUCCAGCACUUCCACAGCUUUUCUACAUUUCAGCAGAAGCCUGGCCUAGCAUACCUUCAUGGACUGUUCCAAGGGGAAGAGUUCCCAUGAUGAACUUCUGGUUGAAAUUCUGGAGAGGGCCAAAAAGCAGGUCCAGUACCAGAAACAAGGACUUACGCCUAGAGAAAAGUCAUGCAGAGAGGCAGGAGGGGAGGCUCACUGCAUGGCAUGAAGACAAGGUUCCAUGAGUUUUGGUUGCCUGAUAUGCUGAGAGUGCUCCAUGCAGCAGAAGUGAUCCUGACUCAUUUUCUUAGAGUGAAUGGCAGUGCUGCGC
Molecule: long non-coding RNA, 458 nt
Organism: Mauremys reevesii (Reeves's turtle)
Lineage: Eukaryota; Metazoa; Chordata; Testudines; Geoemydidae
Exons: 3
Source: RefSeq, a predicted model, not a curated record